GAUGAACGCUGGCGGCGUGCCUAAUACAUGCAAGUCGAGCGAACGGACGAGAAGCUUGCUUCUCUGAUGUUAGCGGCGGACGGGUGAGUAACACGUGGAUAACCUACCUAUAAGACUGGGAUAACUUCGGGAAACCGGAGCUAAUACCGGAUGAUAUUUUGAACCGCAUGGUUCAAAAGUGAAAGACGGUCUUGCUGUCACUUAUAGAUGGAUCCGCGCUGCAUUAGCUAGUUGGUAAGGUAACGGCUUACCAAGGCAACGAUGCAUAGCCGACCUGAGAGGGUGAUCGGCCACACUGGAACUGAGACACGGUCCAGACUCCUACGGGAGGCAGCAGUAGGGAAUCUUGCGCAAUGGGCGAAAGCCUGACGGAGCAACGCCGCGUGAGUGAUGAAGGUCUUCGGAUCGUAAAACUCUGUUAUUAGGGAAGAACAUAUGUGUAAGUAACUGUGCACAUCUUGACGGUACCUAAUCAAAAAGCCACGGCUAACUACGUG
Molecule: ribosomal RNA, 497 nt
Filed under: uncultured bacterium
Lineage: Bacteria
Description: partial 16S ribosomal RNA
Rfam family: Bacterial small subunit ribosomal RNA
Source: RNAcentral